UGAGGAAUAUUGGUCAAUGGGCGAGAGCCUGAACCAGCCAAAUCGCGUGAAGGAAGACUGCCUUAUGGGUUGUAAACCUCUUUUAUACAGGAAUAAAAAAGGGGACGUGUCCCUUAUUGCAUGUACUGUAUGAAUAAGCAUCGGCUAACUCCGUGCCAGCAGCCGCGGUAAUACGGAGGAUGCGAGCGUUAUCCGGAUUUAUUGGGUUUAAAGGGUGCGCAGGCGGGCUUUUAAGUCAGCGGUGAAAUCUCGGGGCUUAACUCCGAAACUGCCGUUGAAACUGGGAGUCUUGAGUAUGGAUGAAGUAGGCGGAAUUCGUUGUGUAGCGGUGACAUGCUUAGAUAUAACGAGGAACUCCGAUUGCGUAGGCAGCUUACUAAGCCAUAACUGACGCUCAAGCACGAAAGCGUGGGGAUCAAACAGGAUUAGAUACCCUGGUAGUCCACGCCGUAAACGAUGAUUACUAGUUGUAUGCGAUAUACCGUAUGUGACUAAGCGAAAGCGAUAAGUAAUCCACCUGGGGAGUACGCCGGCAACGGUGAAACUCAAAUGAAUUGACGGGGUCAUAGCUG
This 572-nucleotide ribosomal RNA is filed under the name uncultured bacterium. RNAcentral describes it as "partial 16S ribosomal RNA". It matches the Rfam family "Bacterial small subunit ribosomal RNA", at positions 355 to 932 of the family's 1533-position model. The record is from RNAcentral.